Molecule: ribosomal RNA, 423 nt
Filed under: [Eubacterium] infirmum
Lineage: Bacteria; Bacillati; Bacillota; Clostridia; Peptostreptococcales; Anaerovoracaceae
Description: bacterial SSU rRNA
Rfam family: Bacterial small subunit ribosomal RNA
Source: RNAcentral
GAUGAACGCUGGCGGCGUGCCUAACACAUGCAAGUCGAGCGAGAAGUAAAGAAAUGAAGCUUCGGUAGAUUUUCAUUAUGGAAAGCGGCGGACGGGUGAGUAACGCGUAGGCAACCUGCCCUGUACAGGGGGAUAGCCACCCGAAAAGGUGAUUAAUACCCCAUGAUGCAAGAGAUACACAUGUAUCACUUGUCAAAGAUUUAUCGGUAUGGGAUGGGCCUGCGUCUGAUUAGCUAGUUGGUAGGGUAACGGCUUACCAAGGCAACGAUCAGUAGCCGACCUGAGAGGGUGAUCGGCCACAUUGGAACUGAGACACGGUCCAAACUCCUACGGGAGGCGGCAGUGGGGAAUAUUGCACAAUGGGCGAAAGCCUGAUGCAGCAACGCCGCGUGAAGGAAGAAGGCCUUCGGGUUGUAAACUUCU